GGCUUCGUGGUCGAGUGGUAAGAACAUUUAUCUCUAACUCUGGAGUCCUAGGUUCGAUCCCUGGUCGUGGUGCU
Molecule: non-coding RNA, 74 nt
Organism: Rhamnusium bicolor
Lineage: Eukaryota; Metazoa; Arthropoda; Insecta; Coleoptera; Cerambycidae
Source: the annotation of a GenBank genome assembly